GCCAGCGUGACGUAGUGGUUUGAGUGAUGGACUUUUACUGUGGAGACCAGGGUUCGAAUCCCAGCUCAGCCA
Phrynosoma platyrhinos (Desert horned lizard) is the source of this 72-nucleotide non-coding RNA. The record is from the annotation of a GenBank genome assembly. NCBI's taxonomy places the organism in Eukaryota, Metazoa, Chordata, Lepidosauria, Squamata, Phrynosomatidae.